UUUUUUUUUUUUAAGAUUUUAUUUAUUUAUUCCUGAGAGACACAGAGAGAGGCAGACAUAUAGGGGGAAGGAGAAACAGGCUCCAUGCAGGGAGCCUGAUGUGGGACUCGGUACCAGGACCCCGGGGUCACGCCCUGAGCCGAAGGCAGACGCUCAACCACUGAGCCACUCAGGCAUCCCUUUUUAGUGCUUUCAUACUUUUUUUUUUUUUUUUUUUUAGCAAUAACUGGCAUUUAAUGAUAGUUUAUGAGUGCCAAGUUCAAAGUAUGUUCUAAGUAUGUUACAGAUAUCAACUCAUGCAAUCCUCUCAACAACUUUGUGAAGUAGGUAUAAUUCUUUCCCCCAUCCCAUCUUACAGAUAAUGAAAGUAGAGUUGAGGUUAAAUAGGAGCAACCAGGUGGUGAUGGAGGCGGUAUUUUUAACUCAGGUUAUUUCACCUCAGAGAUCAUGGUUAUAACAGAUACUUCCUAUUAUUACCUAUAGCACCGGGUGGAAAUGAUUUGCUCAUGUCUGUAUUCUCCCCCUAAAGCAUGAUUGAUUUAACGAGAGGGUUUGUUGUUGUUGUUGUUGUUAUCUCUAAUAUUGUGUGCAGAGUUGAAUGAAUAAAUAUCUAAGACUGUGACAUUAGGCAAUGGAAGCAUGCAUGUCUUUUGGCUCUUGCCGGAUGUUCUUUUCACUACGGCACACAAAACGUUAGAAAGACGAGGUACUUACUGCAAUUACUAACCGAAAACUAAUACAAUAAUUUAAUCAGAGAAUUCUAACUUCUGUAUCGGCUAGCUGUUGCUGCAUAAUUAGCCAUCCCCAAACCUGGUAGCUGAAAUCAGCAAUCAUUUAUUAUUUCUCAUGAGUCUUUCUAGGUCAGUCAGAGAUUGGUUGAGCGGCUCUCCUGAUCUUGGCUGGGUUCACUGUUAGCUGAUCUAAAAUGGGCUCGGCUGGGGUCGCUGGGGCAACUCAGCUCCACGCCCGAUGUCUCUCUCCCUUCAUCGGCUUGGCCUAAGCGAAUUUCUUGGCAACAGAAGUCCAAGAGAGGAAGCAGAAAGGCACGGGUACGUUUUCAUCCUUCUGUAUGAAUCAAAUUUGCUGACUUUCUGUUGGCUACAGCAAAUCACUUAGUUGAGCCCAUUGUCAAGGAAUGGGACAGGUCAUCCUCCCCUAAUGGGGGGCCACGGUAAGGUUACAUGACAAAAGAGAGCGAAGAAUCAGGGUGGUCACUGCAAUGAACCCCAAUUUCUAUCCCUUACAAAUAACAAAUUUCCUGAACAAUGACUGGGAUUUAUAGGACAGAAAAUUCUCUGCAUAAGGGAUCCUUCAAUCAGUCAGUUAUUUAACAGAUGGGCAUUAACAUGUGUCAUGCAUUAUGAAAGUCGCCACUAACUGCCCCCACUGCCCUGAUCACGUCUGUUGGUGCUAAUCAAAAAUGGCUCAACUUCUGCCCGAUUCUCUUUUUUUACUAUAUUACAUUAGGAGACCUCUCUCAGGUUCCUCUGCGGACCCUUUGCCACUGCCCUUUCUUCUUACCCGGGCCACCCUAUCUCUAGUGCCAGGAAGCUUCUGAAAAAGAAACAAUAAGGUGGAAAAUAUGUUCCGCAUGGACAGCAGAAAACCACAGUGGGGAAACUCUCCACAAUGCAUAGGAGAAAGGAUUCCUAUUUUAAAUAUGUAACUAUUUCUUAGAAAUAACUAUUAGAAAUAAAUAAGGAAAACAAAAAUAACUGUACAGGUGAGUGGGGAAAAAUACAGUAUCAGUCAAUUUGCAGAACUGGUUAUUUUAACACUUAAUGGUAUCCAUGUUACUUAGCAAAGUGCCUUGCCCUUUAGCCUCUUACAACAUUUUGACUGAUGGAUGAGUGAGUGAGCUGUCUACUUGGGUGAGGAAAGUGGGUAAAUAGUAGGCAUGCCAAUUAUGAGCAACGAUGACAUAAUAUGGACAGAAUUUUACCAGCACUAAGUGUAAAGAGCUGGGGGGAGCAGAGGAUGCAAUUCGUGAGGACUGUUGGCAAUCCCAGAGGACUUUACAAAUAGGAAAUCUAAGUGGGUGAAGAGCUUCAUGAAUGUUAGCACACAGUUGAUGGAUGUGGGUUUGCCAUUUUGCAGCUAGAGAACAAGGGAUAGGGUGCAUUCUACCAAAAAAAAAAAAAAAUUGUGGUUCAAUGAUUAGCAGGAUUAAAGAUGAGCUAAAUUAAGUACUCAGCCAUGGAAGAGAUGAUCAGAAUAUUAGAUGCCAUAUAGAGAUCAAGAGAGUUCAGAUUUUGGAAGAAAUCUUAAAAGGUUCCUUCUUCGAGAAUAUCAGGAGCAAAUGAUAUCUGGGAAGGAAGAGCACUAGUGAAAGGGAGCAUCUUAGGGAGGACCCUUCCUUUCUCAGACUGUCUAGGCAACAUGACAAGUUGUAGGCGUGACUUAAGGUAAUAAGAAAACCGACAGAGACAAUUGUAUGACAAUUUGGCAACCAAUUCUAAAUCAAUUUAGACCCAAUUACAUUUCAGAAAUCCUUUUUUAAAUGGUGACCCAAGCACUUGUAAAACACAGUCUCCUUUAUCAAAUGUUUCUAAGGGAGAUGGGAUUUGUGCAUAGAAACUACAUGGUGGUAUUUUUGUACUGUCUAAAUUAGGAUUCCUAGCACCGAGAAGAAAAUUGGCCAUAAAGGUAUCUUUAAAACUCCACCAGGAAUUAGUAGAUGGUGUGAAUCCAGUUGUGUAAUUUGAGAAGACAGCUGCAUUUUAUCUAGCUAAAUCAGCACUCGAGACUAAACAACUCCUAAAGAAUGUCACUUUAUUUCAGCAUUAGCCAUGCAGUGCAGAUUCGAGAAAUGAUAGCCUUGUUUCCCCCACCAUAUUACUAUUGUGUUUUCAGGAAAUGAAGUGCAUAGAUUUCAAAAGUCAGUUCUCUUCACAUUGAAGAUGCAUUAGCACAUCUGUGAUUCUAGGCCUCCAGCUGAUUUAGCGGCACGUGAUUCAAAUAAUGUGAAACAAUCUGCAUUUUUAAAUGUCCAGGUUUCUAACAUACACAGCAUUUUUGAGGAAAGUGAAUGACUGGGAGAAGCUGCAGAUUUGAAAAAAAAUAAUAAUCUGUUGAAUUUACAAGGAAAAUUCAAACACCUUUAUCAUUUGAACGAAAGAAUUCCCUAACCACCAAAAAUAAGCAUAUAUAUAGAAAUGGUACUCAGACUCAACUUUCAAAAUGGGAGGGAGUUGAGAAUCCUUUGAUUCACUACACAGAUUUUUUUUUAAGCCAUCCACAACUGUAUGAGUUUUAUAGGGGAAAUGGGAUGUAAAAUAAGUACCCCUGUGGCAGAUGAUGAUUGUAAGACACGUCAUGGAACUGUGGUCUUAUUGAAUGGAUUGAACACUGGGUAACUGGUAAAGUGAUUGAGGCUUUGACAUUUUACUACAACUUUCAGCUGACAAUCUUCCUGAAAAGGAUUUUUAGUAAAAGUUUAAAAAAGUCUUGUGGUAAUUCAUAUUUCCCCUAAAAUAACAACUAUGCCACAUUGCAGAGGACCUAAAUAGAUGUUUUCCAAAGAAGACAGCAGAUCGCCAACAGGUGCAUGCAAAGAUGCUUAAAUCACUAAUCAAUAGGGAAAUGUGAAUGAAAACCAAGGUGAGAUACUGUCUCACACCUGUUAGAGUGGCUAUUCUCAAAAAGACAGGAGAUAAGGGUGUCUGGGUGGUUUAGUUGGUUAAGCGGCCAACUCUUGAUUUUGGCUCAGGUCAUGAUCUCAGGGUCGUGAGAUUGAGCUCCAUAACUGGCUGUGUGCGGUGGGCAUGGAGCCUGUUUGCGAUUCUCUCUCUGCCUCUCCCUUUGCCCCUCUCCCCAUCCGUCUUUCCAAAAAAACCAAACCAAACCAAACCAAACCAAACCAAAACAAACAAACAAAAAAAAAAACCAACCAACCAAACCAAACAAAACAACAACAAAAAAACAAACCAAAAAGCAAUUUAAACUCAAUUAGAUUCAAUCCCUUAAAAAAAAAAAAAA
RNAcentral lists this long non-coding RNA (3978 nucleotides) under Canis lupus familiaris (dog). RNAcentral describes it as "lncRNA (ENSCAFG00000055378.1)". The record is from RNAcentral. Lineage: Eukaryota; Metazoa; Chordata; Mammalia; Carnivora; Canidae.